GUAGUUUGAUCUUGGCUCAGGACGAACGCUGGCGGCGUGCUUGACACAUGCAAGUCGAACGGGGUGCCUAUGAAAGAGAUUUCGGUCAAUGGAUUAGGUUACUUAGUGGCGGACGGGUGAGUAACGCGUGAGGAACCUGCCUUUCAGAGGGGGACAACAGCUGGAAACGGCUGCUAAUACCGCAUGACACAUAUUUAUCGCAUGGUAGAUAUGUCAAAGAUUUAUCGCUGAGAGAUGGCCUCGCGUCUGAUUAGCUAGUUGGUAGGGUAACGGCCUACCAAGGCGACGAUCAGUAGCCGGACUGAGAGGUUGGCCGGCCAUAUUGGGACUGAGAUACGGCCCAGACCCCUACGGGAGGCAGCAGUGGGGAAUAUUGGGCAAUGGGCGCAAGCCUGACCCAGCAACGCCGCGUGAAGGAAGAAGGCCUUUCGGGUUGUAAACUUCUUUUAAGAGGGAAGAGCAGAAGACGGUACUCUUGAAUAAGCACGGCUAACUACGUGCCAGCAGCCGG
Molecule: ribosomal RNA, 511 nt
Filed under: uncultured microorganism
Description: bacterial SSU rRNA
Rfam family: Bacterial small subunit ribosomal RNA
Source: RNAcentral